RNAcentral lists this ribosomal RNA (253 nucleotides) under uncultured bacterium. RNAcentral's name for it is "partial 16S ribosomal RNA". It matches the Rfam family "Bacterial small subunit ribosomal RNA", at positions 524 to 776 of the family's 1533-position model. The record is from RNAcentral.
UACGGAGGGUGCAAGCGUUAUCCGGAUUUACUGGGUUUAAAGGGUGCGUAGGUGGGUUGGUAAGUCAGUGGUGAAAUACUUUCGCUUAACGAAGGAACUGCCAUUGAUACUAUCAAUCUUGAAUGUAGUGGAGGAAGGCGGAAUGCGUCAUGUAGCGGUGAAAUGCUUAGAUAUGACGCAGAACACCAAUUGCGAAGGCAGCUUGCUACACUACUAUUGACACUGAGGCACGAAAGCGUGGGGAUCAAACAGG